UACGUAGGGAGCAAGCGUUGUCCGGAAUCAUUGGGCGUAAAGCGCGCGUAGGUGGCCUCAUAAGUCCGCUGUGAAAGUCAAAGGCUCAACCUUUGAAAGCCGGUGGAUACUGUGAGGCUAGAGUACGGAAGAGGCGAGUGGAAUUCCUGGUGUAGCGGUGGAAUGCGCAGAUAUCAGGAGGAACACCAGUGGCGAAGGCGACUACCUGGCCUGUUUCUUGACGCUGAGGCGCGAAAGCUAGGGGAGCAAACGGG
This 254-nucleotide ribosomal RNA is filed under the name uncultured bacterium. RNAcentral describes it as "partial 16S ribosomal RNA". It matches the Rfam family "Bacterial small subunit ribosomal RNA", at positions 524 to 776 of the family's 1533-position model. The record is from RNAcentral.